CUUCAUAGUUUUAAUCUUGCUUUAUUAGCAAAACAGUGUUGGCGUCUGAUCCAGAAUCCAGAAUCUUUGUGUGCUCGAGUUCUCAGUGCUAAAUACUAUCCAGAUGGAAACAUAUUGAAUGCAGGGUCGAAGAAGGGAUCCUCCUUUACGUGGCAGAGUAUCGUUGCUGGGAUUCAAACGUUCAAACGAGGAUGUAUUUGGAGAGUGGGUACGGGAUCACAUAUAAACAUUUGGCAAGAUCCUUGGGUUCCAACAAGUGAGUCCCGGAAAAUCAUAACACCACGGGGAUCCACUAUGUUGACAACAGUGGAAGAGUUAAUUGAUCCACAUACAGGUCAGUGGGAUGAGGUGUUGGUUCGCGAUGUCUUUUGGCCGAUCGAAGUGUACAGAAUCCUACAAAUCCCACUGAGAGUACAUAUCAUGGAUGACUUUGUUUCAUGGCAUUAUAACCGGAAUGGAAACUUC
Molecule: ribosomal RNA, 465 nt
Filed under: Triticum aestivum (bread wheat)
Lineage: Eukaryota; Viridiplantae; Streptophyta; Magnoliopsida; Poales; Poaceae
Description: partial small subunit ribosomal RNA
Source: RNAcentral